This 490-nucleotide ribosomal RNA is filed under the name uncultured bacterium. RNAcentral's name for it is "partial 16S ribosomal RNA". It matches the Rfam family "Bacterial small subunit ribosomal RNA", at positions 30 to 507 of the family's 1533-position model. The record is from RNAcentral.
AUUGAACGCUGGCGGCAGGCCUAACACAUGCAAGUCGAACGGUAACAGGAAGCAGCUUGCUGCUUCGCUGACGAGUGGCGGACGGGUGAGUAAUGUCUGUGAAGCUGCCUGAUGGAGGGGGAUAACUACUGGAAACGGUAGCUAAUACCGCAUAAUGUCGCAAGACCAAAGAGGGGGACCUUCGGGCCUCUUGCCAUCGGCUGUGCCCAGAUGGGAUUAGCUUGUUGGUGGGGUAACGGCUCACCAAGGCGACGAUCCGUAGCUGGUCUGAGAGGAUGACCAGCCACACUGGGACUGAGACACGGUCCAGACUCCUACGGGAGGCAGCAGUGGGGAAUAUUGCACAAUGGGCGCAAGCCUGAUGCAGCCAUGCCGCGUGUAUGAAGAAGGCCUUCGGGUUGUAAAGUACUUUCAGCGGGGAGGAAGGGAGUAAAGUUAAUACCUUUGCUCAUUGACGUUACCCGCAGAAGAAGCACCGGCUAACUCCGUG